GUGCCCACUUUGGCAGCACACAUACUAAAAUUGGAGUGAUACAGAGAAGAUUAGCAUGGUCCAUUAGAAAGCAUGACACACAAAUUCUUUUUUUUUUUUUUUU
Molecule: small nuclear RNA, 103 nt
Organism: Nycticebus coucang (slow loris)
Lineage: Eukaryota; Metazoa; Chordata; Mammalia; Primates; Lorisidae
Source: RefSeq, a predicted model, not a curated record